RNAcentral lists this ribosomal RNA (588 nucleotides) under Triticum aestivum (bread wheat). RNAcentral's name for it is "partial small subunit ribosomal RNA". Lineage: Eukaryota; Viridiplantae; Streptophyta; Magnoliopsida; Poales; Poaceae. The record is from RNAcentral.
AUGGCCAAAGGUCCAAAGGUAACACAUCCUGAGUAUGUUUAUUUCAAUAGUGAUGAAGAUGACUUGCUUGUGGAUGAUGAUUUACUUGUUGACAACUCUAGUGAUGAAUACUAUGAUGAAACAUCAAUUAAUCAUGCUAAUCAAACGGAUGACAAUGAUAAGGAGAAAAUUGAGUUUCUAACUAAAGAACUAAACACUCUUAAGUUGGCUCAUGAAACUAUCUUCGAGGAUCAUCGAGAACUUUUAAGGGCUCAUGAGAAUUUACGCUUUGAAAAGCUCAAUCUUGAGCAAGAGCAUGAGUUCUUAAAAGAAAUCAAUGAUGAUCUCCGUAAGAAAAGUUCUUCUUACAUUGCCAAGCGUUUACUCCUAUCUACUUACAUGCCUCAAGUUAAGUCUAGUAAGAAGUACAAAAAAGAUACUUCCUCUAGUAGUAACAAUAAUAAUGUCAAAUCCAAUAUUGUUGCUUCUAGUAGUUCUCUUGAUUCCACUAAUGAUUCUAUUAGCCAAGAUACACUUGAGCAAGAAAACAGCUUAUUGAAGGGAAUUAUAGAGAAAGGUGUUUACAAGAGCCUUGCCGGGAGUAACUAA